GCCCAGGUGGCGGAAUUNNNNCGCUAGCUUCAGGUGCUAGUGUCCGAAAGGACGUGGAAGUUCGAGUUUUCUCCUGGGCACCA
RNAcentral lists this transfer RNA (83 nucleotides) under Candidatus Phaeomarinibacter ectocarpi. RNAcentral's name for it is "tRNA-Leu (CAG) (tRNA-Leu-CAG-1-1)". Lineage: Bacteria; Pseudomonadati; Pseudomonadota; Alphaproteobacteria; Hyphomicrobiales; Parvibaculaceae. The record is from RNAcentral.